UUAUAGCAAUGUGAGAACAGACUAACAUAUACAUAUUUUGGUACAAGGAGUGGGAGGCCACUCAAAUAAAUGUCUAAAAAUAUAAGGCUUUGUUUUAGAACUGAGCAGUGAGCUGAGUGAUUGCAUCACAAUUUUGUAACUUUCAUUUUUCUUACAGAAUUUGUCUUUUGUUUUUUUUUUUCUUCCCUUGUAAGCUUUGAUGAACUAAGCCAUCAUAUGCAGAGUUCCACAGUGCAAACAAUUAAGGGUGGCAUCUUGCUGAAAGAUAGCAAGGAGCUAAGGCCCUCAGUCUGACAGCCCACCAGUAACUGAAUCACACCAAUACCCAUGUGAAUAGGAAGCAGAUUCUUCCUCAGUUGAACCUGAAAUCAAAUCUGAGUCCUGGACUGCAUAACAAUUGAAGUAUUGUAAGAGACCCUAAAGGUUCAAGGGAUACAUGUACAGGUUUGUUACAUGUGUAAAUUACAUACCACUGUGGGAGUUUGGUGUACAGAUAAUUUUGUCACUCCAGCAAUCAGCAUCAUAUCUGAUAUACAUAAAGGCCUGAUGUUCAACCCACAGAAACUGCGUCUACUUGCAUAAGGACAUUCUUUGAUUUCCAGAGACCUCUUCCCCAUUUCUAAAUCAGCUCUAUCUGAUAAACAUCUUUUUGACAGCUGGAAAAGUGUCAGACUUUGUCCAGACAGAGUGUUCAAAGGAUCACUGAAGAAGGAAGGAGCCUCUCUCUUCUAUGUGAAGCACUUACAUAUAUACACUCUUGCUCAUAGGAUAUGGCUACUAGGAGAAAGUUCGCUUGUUGGUGGGAAGAUUCCUUGUCAGUUGUCUGAAAGAGACCCAGUAAUGAAUGCCCUUUGGAGCAUGGAGAUAUUCCCUUGUUUACAUCUGUGGUUAAUGUCAUGUUGCAGUGGCAGAGAUGAGAGUCCUUACACUGGGUUUGUUUCUUGAGAUGGCUGUCUACUGCAGCUGCAGACCUCAACCUAUGGUAUGUAUCAAGUAAUUUAACUUUUUCUUGCAAUGCAAUGACUUUUCUCAGCUUAUUGGGAAAACCUCCAGCAUCACUAGUGACAUUUUAUGUGGGUCCCAUGAUGUUAUUUAAGAUUUAAGGUAUUUCACUAAAUGUGAUUUAUAUGGUGAGAACUCUGUGAGAUCACUUUUUACCAUGAUACACAAAUUCACUGGAGAAACAAGAGAGAGCAUCACACAGCACUUUAAGUGUCUAUUUGCAACUUUUGAGCUUAUUGCAAUAGCAACAGGAGGUGUCUACAUAAUUAUUAUAGUAUUACAGUCUGUACUACAGUGAAUUUUAAGUAGUAGUGACUAACUACUUGUGUUUGUUUACGUUUCUAUUAUGAGCAGCCUACAUACAGUAUGUGUUUGUGUUUUGAUAAAUAUUAACUUUUUAUUACA
Molecule: long non-coding RNA, 1407 nt
Organism: Cercocebus atys (sooty mangabey)
Lineage: Eukaryota; Metazoa; Chordata; Mammalia; Primates; Cercopithecidae
Exons: 6
Source: RefSeq, a predicted model, not a curated record